AUUGAACGCUGGCGGCAGGCCUAACACAUGCAAGUCGAACGGUAACAGGAAGAAGCUUGCUUCUUUGCUGACGAGUGGCGGACGGGUGAGUAAUGUCUGGGAAACUGCCUGAUGGAGGGGGAUAACUACUGGAAACGGUAGCUAAUACCGCAUAACGUCGCAAGACCAAAGAGGGGGACCUUCGGGCCUCUUGCCAUCGGAUGUGCCCAGAUGGGAUUAGCUAGUAGGUGGGGUAACGGCUCACCUAGGCGACGAUCCCUAGCUGGUCUGAGAGGAUGACCAGCCACACUGGAACUGAGACACGGUCCAGACUCCUACGGGAGGCAGCAGUGGGGAAUAUUGCACAAUGGGCGCAAGCCUGAUGCAGCCAUGCCGCGUGUAUGAAGAAGGCCUUCGGGUUGUAAAGUACUUUCAGCGGGGAGGAAGGGAGUAAAGUUAAUACCCUUGCUCAUUGACGUUACCCGCAGAAGAAGCACCGGCUAAAUCCGU
This 489-nucleotide ribosomal RNA is filed under the name uncultured bacterium. RNAcentral's name for it is "partial 16S ribosomal RNA". It matches the Rfam family "Bacterial small subunit ribosomal RNA", at positions 30 to 506 of the family's 1533-position model. The record is from RNAcentral.